CGGGCCGGGAGGACAGACUAGCCCCUGCUGCUCGCGUGCAUUAGCAGAAGGCGCGCUUGUUAAGGGUCCUCCACCCUUACAACGCAGACCCUGCUGAAAUGCAACAGGGUCCCACCUCCGCGAAAACCUUGCCUCCUUUUCUCAAAGGAUCAAACACAGUUAACAAUGGUUAUGUUACUCGUAUGUUACUCGUUACAGUAUGUUACUCGUUGCUGGAAGAAUUUUCAAUGAGUAAAUCUUAUGCACUACAAAAUGGAUGAACUGUAAAAUAAUUAACCACGGGAUUCCUCCAUGUGCGUGACCGGACGGGCUAAAGGAGAUGCGGCGGGCCAUCACGCUGUGAAGGGAACUGGGGACGCCCACCCUUGGAGCUUGGUUUUCCUUGAUCCGGAACUGCUGUUCUCACAGCUUGGUCUGGGAACCCUCGGGAAUCUCUGAGAUCCUUGCAAAGGGAAACCCACCUUUGUAAUAACAGACGGUCCUUGCCCUUUUCACUGCCAUUUCUUAUACGUGGAAGAUGGCAUUUCCCUGGUGCAGAAGCAGAUGAGAGAAUCCAGCUGUUUUUGUUGUUGUUGUUUACUAAAUCAGUAUCACGGAGAUUUGCAAAAACAUACAAUAAAGCUGCUCUUUCACUAA
Bubalus bubalis (water buffalo) is the source of this 636-nucleotide long non-coding RNA. RefSeq lists it as uncharacterized. The record is from RefSeq and is a predicted model, not a curated record. Lineage: Eukaryota; Metazoa; Chordata; Mammalia; Artiodactyla; Bovidae. The transcript has 2 exons.